This 484-nucleotide ribosomal RNA is filed under the name uncultured bacterium. RNAcentral's name for it is "partial 16S ribosomal RNA". It matches the Rfam family "Bacterial small subunit ribosomal RNA", at positions 30 to 507 of the family's 1533-position model. The record is from RNAcentral.
AUUGAACGCUGGCGGCAGGCCUAACACAUGCAAGUCGAGCGGAUGAAGGGAGCUUGCUCCUGGAUUCAGCGGCGGACGGGUGAGUAAUGCCUAGGAAUCUGCCUGGUAGUGGGGGAUAACGUCCGGAAACGGGCGCUAAUACCGCAUACGUCCUGAGGGAGAAAGUGGGGGAUCUUCGGACCUCACGCUAUCAGAUGAGCCUAGGUCGGGUUAGCUAGUUGGUGGGGUAAAGGCCUACCAAGGCGACGAUCCGUAACUGGUCUGAGAGGAUGAUCAGUCACACUGGAACUGAGACACGGUCCAGACUCCUACGGGAGGCAGCAGUGGGGAAUAUUGGACAAUGGGCGAAAGCCUGAUCCAGCCAUGCCGCGUGUGUGAAGAAGGUCCUCGGAUUGUAAAGCACUUUAAGUUGGGAGGAAGGGCAGUAAGUUAAUACCUUGCUGUUUUGACGUUACCAACAGAAUAAGCACCGGCUAACUUCGUG